GAUGCUGCUGAAGUGCAUCGAAUAAGUCCGGCCGCCCUCUUCCUCCAUUCGAACCAUCCUCCGACGGCGGCGGGGCAAAUAAAGGAGAAGAGCUCGCCCAGCAAUGGAAUCCCUCUCUUUCUCCAAAACACUCUAUCACUCCUUCCCUCAUCUCCCAAUUUCUUCUCGCUUUCCUUCCUCCGUUUCCCCAAAAUCCCGUAUCUUAAAGCCCUUUCCAAAAACCCUAACCUUGAUUCGCUCCUCCCACCAAACCCCCACCCAAACCCUACAAUCUCUAUCCGUCUUUCUCAAACCAGCCAUUCUAUCCCUUACCGCUGCUGCUGCUGUCUUUUUCUCCCGCCGCUCCCUCCCAUCCCUCGCCGCUGUUGUGCACCCUCCCCCCGCCGCUCAAUCCGAAAACCUUUCUUCUUCCGAUGAACACAGCGAGGAAGUCCUGGAGCAGCAUCUUGCCUCCCAUCCCGACGAUGUCGACUCCCUCCGAGCUCUCGUCCAACUCAAAGUUAAGCAACAGAAGCUCCCCGAAGCCAUCGCGGUUGUCGACCGGCUCGUCCUUCUUGACCCCACUGAUCCCGAGCUCCAUCUCCUGAGAGCCCACCUUCAUACCUACAGCGGCGAUACAGAAAAAGCACGCGAAGGAUUUGAAGAGAUUUUGUCGGCGAAUCCUUUCGUUGUCGAGGCUUAUCAUGGGCUCGUCAUGGCUGCGUCGCGCUCUGUUGAUAUGAAGGAGCUUGAUCGGGUUGUAGAGAGGGUUGAGGGAGUUAUUCAGCGUUGCAAGAAAGAGAAUAGGUGGAAGGAGUUGAGAGAUUUUAAGCUUUUGGUGGCACAGGUUUUGAUUAUUGAGGGUAAGUAUCAGGAGGCUCUGAAGAUGUAUCAGGAGAUGGUGAAGGAUGAACCACGAGAUUUCAGGCCUUAUCUUUGCCAGGGAAUCGUUUAUACUCUGAUGAGGAAGACGGACGAGGCAAAUAAACAUUUUAAGCAGUACAGGAAGCUUGUUCCUAAGAACCAUCCCUAUGCGCAAUUGUUCGAGAGUAAUUUGAGUGGGAUUAAUGCUGCCCUAAAGAAGAAGGAUGACAAUGUGACGGAUAGUUCACUGCAGAGCUAAGAUACGAGGAGGGUGUUUUCUUAUGGGAUGUUUGGUGUUAGAUUUGAUUCAUAUGCAUAUGCUGCAAGAUGAUGGUGGAUUGAAGUCGAAUGGCAUGUAUUAAUGCAUUAUUGAUGCUUUAGUCUGCAAACAAAGCACAUUAGUUUCGGGGUCUCUAAUGGAAGCUCUUUCAAUGAAACCUAUCUCAACUCUUUGUUUAGGCAUGGAAAAUGGCUUACCUGGGUUCUUCUGUGAUUGAAGUUCUGUUAAGCUAAUUUUUUAUGAUGGGGCCAUGGCAGCUUGGACGGGUUUUGCAGCUGGGAAGCCGUUUGCUUGAUUUUUUUUGAAUUAAAUAAAGAAACAUCUACCCCACAACUGUUCUCAUAUAGCUGCAACAAACAGACAGUCAGCUUCCCCGCAGCAGCUUCCUGAGGCAGCGCAGUUGCAACUGAAAAACUGAAAAGCUGCAGCUGCGCCAAACAGAGCCUUAGUUGGAGGAAGGAUUGCUAUUGUUUUUAUUGUUGUGUACUGUUUUACCUUGGUAGUUCUUCUACUUUCAAAGUUCUCAACAUAUUUAUCAUGUCUAUUACA
RNA transcript from Phalaenopsis equestris, 1672 nucleotides. It is a transcript of the gene named protein SLOW GREEN 1, chloroplastic-like, with no coding region annotated. The record is from RefSeq and is a predicted model, not a curated record. NCBI's taxonomy places the organism in Eukaryota, Viridiplantae, Streptophyta, Magnoliopsida, Asparagales, Orchidaceae. The transcript is spliced from 3 exons.